UGGGGAAUAUUGCACAAUGGGCGAAAGCCUGAUGCAGCAACGCCGCGUGAGUGAUGAAGGCCUUCGGGUUGUAAAGCUCUGUCUUCUGGGACGAUAAUGACGGUACCAGAGGAGGAAGCCACGGCUAACUACGUGCCAGCAGCCGCGGUAAUACGUAGGUGGCAAGCGUUGUCCGGAUUUACUGGGCGUAAAGGAUGCGUAGGCGGAUACUUAAGUCAGAUGUGAAAAUCCCGGGCUUAACUUGGGAACUGCAUUUGAAACUGGGUAUCUAGAGUGCGGGAUAGGAAAGUGGAAUUCCUAGUGUAGCGGUGAAAUGCGUAGAGAUUAGGAAGAACACCAGUGGCGAAGGCGACUUUCUGGACCGUAACUGACGCUGAGGCAUGAAAGCGUGGGGAGCAAACA
RNAcentral lists this ribosomal RNA (402 nucleotides) under uncultured bacterium. RNAcentral's name for it is "bacterial SSU rRNA". It matches the Rfam family "Bacterial small subunit ribosomal RNA", at positions 355 to 774 of the family's 1533-position model. The record is from RNAcentral.